ACAGGGAGAAAAAUGUUGGCGCUUUUAGUCAGAGCUUUUAUGCAUCGUAUUCUCGUUGCAUUAGUUUCGUCGUCCGUCUCCUCGUAUCCCUUGGUUAUAUACAUAUACAUAUUUUAAUUUUCUAAUUCAAUAAAAUCUCGCUUCCUCCGAUCCUCCCCCGAGAGUCGCGAUUCUCUUCGUGUGCGUUCGUAUUCGUUCGGUAAUAAUCGCCGACGCCGUCGCUCGGUCAUCCCUUCUCCCCUCACCUCUCUCGUAAACCCAUUCUAUCAUUCUUUGCGUCGACUCGGUACAAUUCGGCUCGGUUCGGCCAAUCUCGGGUACACGGUCUCGGUCUCGUCGAGCACGAACCAACGAGUCGCUUUUCGAUUCAGUUCUCGUUCGUCCGCACGCCUAUUCGCAUCAAGUCGUGUAUCGGGAGAGUACUAUUUCUCUCUCUCUUUCUCUCUCUCUAUUCUUCCAAGUGAGAGGCGUUUGUGGUCUGCUCUAAAGUAAGAUAAACCGAUAUAAGUGCGCAACGAGAUAAGCCGACUAGGGGCUCACUGACUGACUGACUGACUGACUGACUGACUGACUGAUUAAUUGAACGAAUUUGAAGAACGAGCAACAAUCGUCGACCGCAGCAGCCAACGGGAAAAGAAUCAUCUUCCGAAUUUUGCAGUUUUUUUUAUAUUUAAUUAGGAAGAAGAAGAGCGAAAAAGGUAACCUCAGAACUCGAGAAGAAGAAGAAGAUGAAGAUGAAGAAGAAGAAGAAGAAGAAAAGAAAAGAAAAGAAAAGAAGAUGACUUGAACUGACCGACAUGGACCUGAAGGUUACAGUUACGGAUCAGUCAGGCCAUGACCAUAGUUGAAGAAUCGGAGGAAUACCAUCGAGUACUUGGAAGUCGGUCUUUUGUGCGAACACGUGCAAACUAUCGGCAGCAGACAUACAUAUUUUCCUUCCUCUUUCCUUUUUCAUUCUAUCUAUUUAUCUAUUUAUCUAUCUCUUUCGUUCUUUCCUCUCCCUUAAUCUCAAUCUGAGAACUCAACUUGAACGGAAGUGUUUUGAAAAAAGAACAAAAAAAAAA
Molecule: long non-coding RNA, 1064 nt
Organism: Vespa mandarinia (Asian giant hornet)
Lineage: Eukaryota; Metazoa; Arthropoda; Insecta; Hymenoptera; Vespidae
Source: RefSeq, a predicted model, not a curated record